UACAGAGGGGGCAAGCGUUGUUCGGAAUUACUGGGCGUAGAGGGCGCGUAGGCGGCCUUCUAAGUCGAACGUGAAAUCCCCGGGCUCAACCCGGGAACUGCGUCCGAUACUGGAAGGCUUGAAUCCGGGAGAGGGAUGCGGAAUUCCAGGUGUAGCGGUGAAAUGCGUAGAUAUCUGGAGGAACACCGGUGGCGAAGGCGGCAUCCUGGACCGGUAUUGACGCUGAGGCGCGAAAGCCAGGGGAGCAAACGGG
This 253-nucleotide ribosomal RNA is filed under the name uncultured bacterium. RNAcentral's name for it is "partial 16S ribosomal RNA". It matches the Rfam family "Bacterial small subunit ribosomal RNA", at positions 524 to 776 of the family's 1533-position model. The record is from RNAcentral.